This 253-nucleotide ribosomal RNA is filed under the name uncultured Oscillospira sp. RNAcentral's name for it is "partial 16S ribosomal RNA". It matches the Rfam family "Bacterial small subunit ribosomal RNA", at positions 524 to 776 of the family's 1533-position model. Lineage: Bacteria; Bacillati; Bacillota; Clostridia; Eubacteriales; Oscillospiraceae. The record is from RNAcentral.
UACGGAGGAUGCGAGCGUUAUCCGGAUUUACUGGGUGUAAAGGGCGUGUAGGCGGGACUGCAAGUCAGAUGUGAAACCCAUGGGCUCAACCCAUGGCCUGCAUUUGAAACUGUAGUUCUUGAGUGAUGGAGAGGCAGGCGGAAUUCCGUGUGUAGCGGUGAAAUGCGUAGAUAUUAGGAGGAACACCAGUGGCGAAGGCGGCUUACUGGACGAUGACUGACGCUGAGGCUCGAAAGCGUGGGGAGCAAACAGG